AAUAAAACAAAACCGCUUUUAACAAAAGAAUAAAAUAAAACCAAUUUUUUUGUAAAUAAAAUGGGUCUCUUGUUUUAAAAUAAUCAAAAGGAAGAAAUAACGAAAACCCAAGGGGUUGCCCCCACAUUUAAUAAAAUGAUGUUUAAAAGAAGACGUGUUUAUUUUGAAGGGGUUAAAACUGAAAUCUUUAGCAAAAGCACAAAAAUGAAAUAAGAGGGGAGAAAAGGUUUUAGGUCCGCGGUGUAACAGGGUUUAAAGCUGCUCUGUUGCACCCACUCUCAUCACGCCAACGAACAACGCCACACUCAUAAAGAACUCACAAGCA
This 325-nucleotide long non-coding RNA is filed under the name Hordeum vulgare. Its description in RNAcentral is "long non-coding RNA (HVUL_LNC012673)". Lineage: Eukaryota; Viridiplantae; Streptophyta; Magnoliopsida; Poales; Poaceae. The record is from RNAcentral.